This 352-nucleotide RNase P RNA is filed under the name Holosporaceae bacterium. Its description in RNAcentral is "RNase P RNA component class A". It matches the Rfam family "Bacterial RNase P class A". From Rfam's summary of the family: Ribonuclease P (RNase P) is a ubiquitous endoribonuclease, found in archaea, bacteria and eukarya as well as chloroplasts and mitochondria. Its best characterised activity is the generation of mature 5'-ends of tRNAs by cleaving the 5'-leader elements of precursor-tRNAs. Cellular RNase Ps are ribonucleoproteins. Lineage: Bacteria; Pseudomonadati; Pseudomonadota; Alphaproteobacteria; Holosporales; Holosporaceae. The record is from RNAcentral.
UUGUGGAAACGGAUGGUCGCUGUUGUUUUUUAACAAUAGAGGAAAGUCCGGACUCCUCGGAGGAGAGUGCCAGAUAACGUCUGGCGGCACAGUAUUGUGUUAGGGAAAGUGCAACAGAAAGUAUACAGCCUUCGGGUAAUGGUGAAAUGGCGAGGUAAGAGCUCACCGCGCAACUGGUAACAGAUUGCGGCACGGCAAACCCCACUUGGAGCAAAAUCAAAUAGGAAUAAUGCGGCCUCCGCGCUAGAUUAUUCGGGUAGAUUGCUUGACGUUUGUGGCGACGCAAAUGCUAGAUGAAUGGCCAUCAGGAUGAUACAUCCUACAAAAUCCGGCUUAUAGUUUUCACAAAAAC